This 436-nucleotide ribosomal RNA is filed under the name Mammaliicoccus sciuri. RNAcentral describes it as "bacterial SSU rRNA". It matches the Rfam family "Bacterial small subunit ribosomal RNA", at positions 56 to 474 of the family's 1533-position model. The record is from RNAcentral. Lineage: Bacteria; Bacillati; Bacillota; Bacilli; Caryophanales; Staphylococcaceae.
UGCAGUCGAGCGAACAGAUGAGAAGCUUGCUUCUCUGAUGUUAGCGGCGGACGGGUGAGUAACACGUGGGUAACCUACCUAUAAGACUGGGAUAACUCCGGGAAACCGGGGCUAAUACCGGAUAAUAUUUUGAACCGCAUGGUUCAAUAGUGAAAGACGGUUUCGGCUGUCACUUAUAGAUGGACCCGCGCCGUAUUAGCUAGUUGGUAAGGUAACGGCUUACCAAGGCGACGAUACGUAGCCGACCUGAGAGGGUGAUCGGCCACACUGGAACUGAGACACGGUCCAGACUCCUACGGGAGGCAGCAGUAGGGAAUCUUCCGCAAUGGGCGAAAGCCUGACGGAGCAACGCCGCGUGAGUGAUGAAGGUCUUCGGAUCGUAAAACUCUGUUGUUAGGGAAGAACAAAUUUGUUAGUAACUGAACAAGUCUUGACG